AACUAAAAGUUUUUCAGCCUGUAAAUCAAUUAGGGCUGUUUGGUUCGUCCGAAAAGCGUAAAAAUUAAUUUUUCGAGAAAAAAAAAUUUAUUAAAAUAUUUUAAAAUUUUUUUGUCUGUUUGGUAUUACGCCCCCGAUUACUCGUUUUUUCGAACACGCCGAUAAAUCCGCCGUAUACAAAGAAAUUUUUUCUGUAUAUGAAGCGAUAGCUGUACCUGUACCUAUAAUCAUAUAAAACUACAACUAGUAGUAUAGAGCUACUAAUAGAACGAUAAAUAUAUAUAAAUAACAUCGGGUUCACUAUACAUAUAUAGUCUCCAAAUACAACAUCACUCGCUCCAGCGAGGAUCAAACAUCAGUAUGUACAUGACCCAAAAAUCCAAAACUACCUAUAGCUGGUACCCCUCUAAAGCAGCAACAAAACUGGAAGGGAUCUAGCUCGCGACUCCCUUUUCACGAUCAGAAUCAGCAACAGCAGCAGCCGAAGAAGAUGUCUUUGCAAAAAGGUGCUAACAACUGCGUGUGAGAACUACUACAAAAAAAAGUAAUCCUUAGUGGGUACCACUACCGAGCUCAACGGCUCACCCACUAAAUCUACAGAAGUAUACUCAAGGAUAGUAAAAAAAAAGCUGGAACAAUUCUACAGCUAUAUGCCACUACACUAUCACGAUCCAAAACUAACUAUCUGUAGAUAAAUAUGCAAUCUCUGAUCCAAUCUCACUAAGGACUGUGAGCACACCCGUCCCGCCUGUCGAAACUACACUAACUAUCACCACGUUGGGUCGUCAGUGAAGAGCGAGUCCAAUCAGGACACAACGACAAUAAUGCAAAAGUACAAAGCCUGACUCCGGAGUGGGACUAGUGGGCUCUACCCAACUGAAAAUGCAAGCGUAUUUCUGCCGAGCUCAAUCAGGCUCUCACAGGUUAUAGUCAAAAUAGAAGGGUCUAACUGGUCUAACAACCAUAACUCACAUGCCUACGGCACAAUCUGAUGCAAAAUAUAUAAAUCUGGGUCCACCGGCAACCGCGACAGCAUCCGACAGUCCGGAACAGUCUAUACACUACUGUAAAAAUAAAUUUGGUAUCUCAGCACGAGCGUAAUUUCAUUCUACACUAUUCUGUAUAUCCACCGCGUACAAACUGCGGCGAUAUAAACCAACUACAGCUCCUAAAGCUAAAUCUGUUAGUUUUCAGAAAAUGACAAUAUAGAACCUAUAGUUUUCUAUUAAGUCAAAUCCAAAUCCAACAUGUAUAAUAAAACUAGCAUUUAAAGCUCCAAUUCAGAUUUCAUUUAAGAACAAUGCAAAUCGACGAAUCGAGCUACUAAACAUGAUAUACGAAAUCAAAAAUACAU
Molecule: long non-coding RNA, 1354 nt
Filed under: Ananas comosus (pineapple)
Lineage: Eukaryota; Viridiplantae; Streptophyta; Magnoliopsida; Poales; Bromeliaceae
Description: long non-coding RNA (ACOM_LNC026943)
Source: RNAcentral